UAGGGAAUCUUCGGCAAUGGGGGCAACCCUGACCGAGCAACGCCGCGUGAGUGAAGAAGGUUUUCGGAUCGUAAAGCUCUGUUGUAAGAGAAGAACGUGUGUGAGAGUGGAAAGUUCACACAGUGACGGUAACUUACCAGAAAGGGACGGCUAACUACGUGCCAGCAGCCGCGGUAAUACGUAGGUCCCGAGCGUUGUCUGGAUUUAUUGGGCGUAAAGCGAGCGCAGGCGGUUGAAUAAGUCUGAAGUUAAAGGCAGUGGCUUAACCAUUGUUCGCUUUGGAAACUGUUAAACUUGAGUGCAGAAGGGGAGAGUGGAAUUCCAUGUGUAGCGGUGAAAUGCGUAGAUAUAUGGAGGAACACCGGUGGCGAAAGCGGCUCUCUGGUCUGUAACUGACGCUGAGGCUCGAAAGCGUGGGGAGCAAACAGG
Molecule: ribosomal RNA, 429 nt
Filed under: bacterium
Lineage: Bacteria
Description: partial 16S ribosomal RNA
Rfam family: Bacterial small subunit ribosomal RNA
Source: RNAcentral